UCUGACUGGGCUUUUGAAGUAAGAAAAAAGAUUUCAGCAGGAAGCAAUGAAGUAGGAGAACAUUCCAGUGUGGGGUAUGGCCAGCAUCAAUGAAUGUGGAAUGUGGGAGCAGCUAAUAGUUCAUGUUAGAAAAAACAGAUAGUGUAUGGAAGGGAGUGAUGUCGAAUAAGGCUGGGAAGAAACAUGAUGCCCAGAAAGCCUUCCAUUCUUUGGACAGAAGACUGGAUCCAUGAACUCUUGAACUUGAGACUACUCACAAAGCUAUCCCAAAGGUGUCACUGCCUAAAAGAUCCUCUUCUUAUCUGCAACAUUGGUUUUACUACAUAUGCCUAAAUCAGACGACCUAAGACCGAGUCACCAAAGGGUCAAAAGUCUGCUUCUGGACGAAGACAUUCUGCAUUCCCCUACUACAAGUUUAGGAACAACCUCUUUCCAUAGACUGUAUGGGUGGAAUAUGUUGCAUCUUUAAAAGUACCAGACUGGACCAGUCUUUCUCUCAUUCUUUCCCUCUGGCAGCAUCUAGGAACUGAUGGUCUUGUUUACCCACGUACAAGCACCAUUUACUGACCUGGGCAUGUGUGGAAAGGUCCACUUGUCCCCUCCCCUUUAGGCUUCUAGCCAUGAGAAAUGGUCUUGAGGUUUUAAUCUGUUUCAUUUACCCUUUUCAGUUCUAAACAUAGGCAGUGAAUUCCCCAGACCUUAGAGCAUGAGCCAUGGUAAACUUGGAGUCUAGGUUGCAGAUCACAUGUUGCUGCCAGCGCAAGGGAAGCCCUGAGAAGACAAGGGAAUUUUGGCUUGGAAUUUAGUGGGACUAGUUAAACUGUGAACCUCAUCCACUUCCCUCCCCAGACACUAAGGUAAUAUAAAGGAGAAUUAUGUUGCAAACCUACCCUCUCCCUGUGUGGUGUUUACACGUCUGUCUUUGCUAUACCUUUGAAGUAAAU
Molecule: long non-coding RNA, 944 nt
Organism: Phascolarctos cinereus (koala)
Lineage: Eukaryota; Metazoa; Chordata; Mammalia; Diprotodontia; Phascolarctidae
Source: RefSeq, a predicted model, not a curated record